RNAcentral lists this ribosomal RNA (256 nucleotides) under uncultured Basidiomycota. Its description in RNAcentral is "partial 18S ribosomal RNA". It matches the Rfam family "Eukaryotic small subunit ribosomal RNA", at positions 624 to 886 of the family's 1831-position model. The record is from RNAcentral. Lineage: Eukaryota; Fungi; Basidiomycota.
AAGCUCGUAGUUGAAUUUCGAAUGUGGCUGGGCGGUCCGCCUCACGGUGUGUACUGUCUGGCUGUGUUCUCUUUCUUGGUGAGCCGGCAUGCCCUUUACUGGGUGUGUUGGGGAACCAGGACGUUUACCUUGAGAAAAUUAGAGUGUUCAAAGCAGGCCUACGCCCGAAUACAUAGCAUGGCAUAAUAAAAUAGGACGUGCGGUUCUAUUUUGUUGGUUUCUAGGAUUGACGUAAUGAUUAAUAGGGAUAGUUGGG